RNAcentral lists this ribosomal RNA (253 nucleotides) under uncultured bacterium. RNAcentral describes it as "partial 16S ribosomal RNA". It matches the Rfam family "Bacterial small subunit ribosomal RNA", at positions 524 to 776 of the family's 1533-position model. The record is from RNAcentral.
GACGGAGGAUGCAAGCGUUAUCCGGAAUGAUUGGGCGUAAAGCGUCCGCAGGUGGCAGUUCAAGUCUGCUGUCAAAGACCGGGGCUUAACUUCGGAAAGGCAGUGGAAACUGAACAGCUAGAGUAUGGUAGGGGCAGAGGGAAUUCCCGGUGUAGUGGUGGAAUGCGUAGAUAUCGGGAGGAACAUCAGUGGCGAAAGCGGCACCCUGGCAUUAGCCUGACGCUCAUGUGCGAAAGCGUGGGGAGCGAACGGG